CCUACGGGAGGCAGCAGUAGGGAAUUUUCGGCAAUGGGGGGAACCCUGACCGAGCAACGCCGCGUGAACGAAGAAGUUAUUCGUAAUGUAAAGUUCUUUUAACAGGGAAGAAAGAGAAAUUUGACGGUACCUGAAGAAUAAGCUCCGGCAAACUACGUGCCAGCAGCCGCGGUAAUACGUAGGGAGCGAGCGUUAUCCGGAAUGAUUGGGCGAAAAGGGUGCGUAGAUGGCAUAGUAAGUCUUUUGUAAAAAUGCUGGGCUCAACCCAGUAGGGCAAAAGAUACUGCAAAGCUAGAGUAUGAGAGAGGCAAGUGGAACUACAUGUGUAGCGGUAAAAUGCGUAAAUAUAUGUAAGAACACCAGUGGCGAAGGCGGCUUGCUGGGUCGAUACUGACAUUGAGGCACGAAAGCGUGGGGAGCAAACAGGAUUAGAUACCCGAGUAGUC
This 446-nucleotide ribosomal RNA is filed under the name uncultured bacterium. RNAcentral describes it as "partial 16S ribosomal RNA". It matches the Rfam family "Bacterial small subunit ribosomal RNA", at positions 338 to 795 of the family's 1533-position model. The record is from RNAcentral.